Molecule: long non-coding RNA, 1581 nt
Filed under: Cyanistes caeruleus (blue tit)
Lineage: Eukaryota; Metazoa; Chordata; Aves; Passeriformes; Paridae
Description: lncRNA (ENSCCEG00000007536.1)
Source: RNAcentral
GGUUUUUUUCUCCUUGAGCUCCGUGCCGACAGGGCUGAGGUUUUUUUCUCCUCCUUUCAUAUAGGAUAAUAGCCAGGUGCAGCUGGUGUCCAUCUUGCUCUUCCGAACAUUGGUGACUGUUCGCGUUGAAAAGGAAAAAGAUUCCUUGAAGUCACACGUGCACCAGAGCCUGCUGUCACCCUUCUUCCACUGCCAUGAUGAGAACCAGCAGGUGGCUGAGGCCUCUCACAGAGCACUGCUUAGCAUGGCCAAGUUCCUGGAGACGAGAGAUCUUGCAAAUCCUGUGAAGGAUAAGCAACUGUGGAAGUUCGCUGAGGUCCUGCUGGCACAGGACGAGAGCCGAGCGGCCGAGUACCUGCACCAGGCCCUGCCGUACCUGCAGAACCCACAGGAGCCCCUGCGAGCAGCGGCCAUCAGGUUCAUGGGGAUUGCCGGGCGCCUCCUGAUGGGGCAGAAUGAAGAGCUGGAGAUCUGGCAAUCCCUUGCAGAAAUGAUAAAUGACGUCAGCCUGGAGAUCAGAAGCCUUGCUCUCCAGACAUUUCACCUGCUGACGGCAGGAGAACCCGCUCCGAUCUCCGUGUUCCAGAGGCUGCGAGAUGAGCUCCGCAGGGCAUGGAGAGCACGGCCUCGUCUAUCGAGCCUCAGCUGCCUAUGCUGCUGCAGCUGUGGCGGGAACUGAUCCGGCAGGAUCUGUCUGCUGGGGCCACAUGAGCUGGCAGGCAUUUUGCUUUUCUUAAAUAUUGUUAUUUUCCUUUUUUCAUUUCUCUGUAGUAUAGAAAUAUAGGAUGUGUUACAAUACACAGACUCCCAAGACUUUUCUUUUACUGCGCACGGUGCACAGGGCAUAGGGGAAGAAGGUGAAAAGGGUGCUUGUGCUCGGCAAGCUGCCCAGGCGUGCAGUGGUGCAGGGAAAGUGGCCAGAAGCUCUUGGCCUGUGGUGGUUGUGCUGAAGGCACAACCUCUGUCCCAAGCCAAGGAAGCGCCAUCUGUGUCCUCGUUCCGGUGUGUUGCUGCCUGCGUUGCUGAGAGCUUCCAGGUGCUAACAGACUCCUGGAGGUCUUGCCAAUGCACCUGCGAAGCGAGUGCAGGGAGAGGCGUCACCCGGCCCUCAGGGCCCUUCUUCAGCUUACUGACAAACCCUCAGUGGUGAGAAGUGGGCAGUGGCAGAAGCUGCACUGGGGAAUGCAGUCACAUGGGUUUGGCUGGGCUUUGGGCAAAAAGGCAGCUGCUGCCAGCUCUCCUGCCUCCCGCUUCAGCUGCCUGAGUGCUCUGGGACAGACCUUUGGCCUCUUGACCCCGUGGCAGCAGCAAGGUGGCGUUUCAUAGACUUCUGUUCUGCACAGACUGAAAAGAUGCGGAGCCUGACUGAACAGCUUGUGGAGCUCCUGCAGGAUGCAGAUGGAGAAAGAGUUUGGAUGACAGUCAAGGUGCUCAGUUUAUAGUCUUGGGCACGAAGAGGCUGAUACCCAGCCCCAUUGCCCUGCAGCUGGCUGAGGCGCUCCUGCCAUUCUUUGACUACGUAAGGCUCUGUGCCCCCAGCCGAGGCCACUGGCUGCUGCCUGGACACUUGGUGCCCUGGGG